Molecule: ribosomal RNA, 490 nt
Filed under: uncultured bacterium
Lineage: Bacteria
Description: partial 16S ribosomal RNA
Rfam family: Bacterial small subunit ribosomal RNA
Source: RNAcentral
GAUGAACGCUAGCGGCAGGCCUAAUACAUGCAAGUCGAACGGGAUCCAGAUCAAAGCUUGCUUUGGUCUGGUGAGAGUGGCGCACGGGUGCGUAACGCGUGAGCAACCUACCCUUGUCAGGUGCAUAUCCCGGCGAAAGUCGGAUUAAUACCGCAUGACAUCAUUUAGAGGCAUCUUUCGAUGAUCAACUAUUUAUCGGACAAGGAUGGGCUCGCGUGACCUUAGCUUGUUGGUAAGGUAACGGCUUACCAAGGCUGCGAUGUCUAGGGGCGCUGAGAGGAGCAUACCCCGACCGGGAACAGGAACACGGACCCGAGGACUGCGAGAGGCAGCAGUAAGGAAUAGUAGGCAAUAGACGGAAAUCUGAACCAGCCAUGCAGAGUGCAGGAAGGCGACGCUAUGGGAUGUAAACUGCUUUUAUACGGGAACAAACGUCGGUACGGGGACCGGACUGAGUGUACCGGAAGAAUAAGGAUCGGCUAACUCCGUG